UACGGAGGAUGCAAGCGUUAUCCGGAAUGAUUGGGCGUAAAGCGUCCGUAGGCGGGUGUGUGAGUCCAGUGUGAAAGGAUCAUGCUCAACAGGAGAAAGGCCGUAGAAACUACUGGUCUUGAGUGCGGUCGGGGUGGUGGGAACUCCUGGUGUAGCGGUGAAAUGCAUAGAUAUCAGGAAGAACGCCGGUGGCGAAAGCGCUCUGCUAAGCCGCAACUGACGCUGAGGGACGAAAGCGAGGGGAGCGAACGGG
Molecule: ribosomal RNA, 253 nt
Filed under: uncultured bacterium
Lineage: Bacteria
Description: partial 16S ribosomal RNA
Rfam family: Bacterial small subunit ribosomal RNA
Source: RNAcentral